AGAAAGAGAUGAACGUCUCAGACUUGAUGUGUACCCGAUCCUCGACACCUCCGACCUCAUCAUCCGUCGACUCAAUCAUAACCCUGUGGCAAUUCCUUCUAGAACUACUGCAACAAGACCAAAAUGGUGAUAUAAUCGAAUGGACACGCGGAACGGACGGCGAAUUCCGACUGAUUGAUGCAGAAGCCGUGGCGAGAAAGUGGGGACAACGGAAGGCGAAACCGCAUAUGAAUUAUGAUAAACUGUCGAGAGCGUUACGAUAUUAUUAUGAGAAGAAUAUUAUUAAGAAGG
This 291-nucleotide small RNA is filed under the name Caenorhabditis elegans. RNAcentral describes it as "Unclassified non-coding RNA C37F5.2". Lineage: Eukaryota; Metazoa; Nematoda; Chromadorea; Rhabditida; Rhabditidae. The record is from RNAcentral.